AUGCUCCGGCGCCGAGGCCGCGUCCUCAUCCAGAUGCUCUCCUCUCCAUCCGCCUCCACCAGCUCCCCUCUCCACCGCCUCAUAUCCGCCACCCGACCACACGUAAACGCGCGGAGCAGCAUCCUCUCCUCUCCCCGCCGCCUCCUCUCCGGUGCCACAGCCCCCGUCGUCUCCCCGAACCCUAGCUUCGCCGUGGAGGAGUACCUCGUCUCCACCUGCGGCCUCACCCGACCGCAGGCACUCAAGGCCUCCCCCAAGCUCGCCCACCUCAGGUCCGCCGCCAACCCGGACGCCGUCCUCGCCUUCCUCGCCGGCCGUGGCCUCUCCGGCGCCGACGUCGCCGCCCUCGUCGCCAAGGACCCCAAGUUCCUCUGCGCCGGCGUGGACAAGGGCCUGUCCCCCAUCGUCGCGGGGCUCUCCGGCCUCGGUUUGUCAGAUCCCGAGAUGGCGCGCCUCCUCUCGCUCGCCCCACACAAAUUCCGCUGCAGAUCCAUCGUCGCCAAGCUGCACUACUACCUGCCCCUCUUCGGCGGCUCCUUGGAGAAGCUGCUCCGGGCCAUCAACUUCACCAACCUCCUCUGCUGCAAGGGGAGGGUGGAGCCCAACGUCGCGUUCCUGCGCGAGUGCGGGCUGGGUGAUGGCGACAUUGCCAAGCUGUGCAGCUCGAGGAUGGUCACCGCCAACAUGGAGCGUGUUCGGACAAUGGUGGCAUUGACCGAAGGCCUCGGCGUGCCCCGGGGGUCCGGAAUGUUCAGGCAUGCUCUGAGUGCCGUCGCAUUCCUCGACGAGAAGAAGAUCACAGCCAAAGUGGAUCACCUGAAGAAGACGGUCGGGUGGUCGGAUGCUGAGGUGAGCAUUGCUCUCCCUAAGGCACCGUUUCUGCUCGCCAAGUCGAACGAAUCGCUGCAGCAUGGGUCCGAGUUCCUCGUCUCUGAGGUUGGGUUGGAACCGGCGUACAUUGCUCGUCGGCCGGUACUGCUCUGUUACAGCCUAGAGGGCCGGAUGAGACCCUGGUACUACGUUUUAAAGUUUCUCAAGGAAAAUGGAUUGCUCAAGCGCGACCCCAGCUACUAUACUGUUUUCAAGGAGACCGAGAGGUAUUUCGUGGAGAAGUUCAUAUGCCCUCACAAGGAAGCUGCACCAUACCUCGCUGAAGACUAUGCUGCCGCUUGCAGAGGGGAAGUGCCCGCUAGAUUUAGAUAUACAUGA
RNAcentral lists this ribosomal RNA (1209 nucleotides) under Triticum aestivum (bread wheat). RNAcentral describes it as "partial small subunit ribosomal RNA". The record is from RNAcentral. Lineage: Eukaryota; Viridiplantae; Streptophyta; Magnoliopsida; Poales; Poaceae.